UACGGAGGGGGCUAGCGUUGUUCGGAAUUACUGGGCGUAAAGCGCGCGUAGGCGGAUUGCUAAGUCGGGGGUGAAAUCCCGGGGCUCAACCCCGGAACUGCCUUCGAUACUGGCAAUCUGGAGUUCGAUAGAGGUGAGUGGAAUUCCGAGUGUAGAGGUGAAAUUCGUAGAUAUUCGGAGGAACACCAGUGGCUAAGGCGGCUCACUGGCUCGAUACUGACGCUGAGGUGCGAAAGCGUGGGGAGCAAACAGG
Molecule: ribosomal RNA, 253 nt
Filed under: uncultured bacterium
Lineage: Bacteria
Description: partial 16S ribosomal RNA
Rfam family: Bacterial small subunit ribosomal RNA
Source: RNAcentral